This is a small nuclear RNA of Loxodonta africana (African savanna elephant), 107 nucleotides long. Lineage: Eukaryota; Metazoa; Chordata; Mammalia; Proboscidea; Elephantidae. The record is from Ensembl.
GUACGCUCAUUUAGUAGUACAUAUAUUGCAAUUGAAAAAAUCAGAAAAGAUGAGCAUGGCACCCAUGUUAAGACGAAAUUUUGCUUCAUGAAGAAUUUAAUAUUUUC